Molecule: long non-coding RNA, 2729 nt
Filed under: Brassica rapa (field mustard)
Lineage: Eukaryota; Viridiplantae; Streptophyta; Magnoliopsida; Brassicales; Brassicaceae
Description: long non-coding RNA (BRAP_LNC004549)
Source: RNAcentral
UAGAAUAAUUGGACUUUAAAAUUAACGAAAAAAUGGGAUUAAAGCAAGAGGCGUCGCUUAAUUAGAAGCGCGAAGAGGCGUCCCUUACCAGCCACGUGUCGCGAUACUACUAGAGAGAGGAGCGAUGUCGGGGUUUCGACAAAUCUUUUCUUUUCUCCUUUCUCUCUUUCGGUUCGUCUUCUCUCCUCGGCGAAAGGCGAUUCUCUCCCUUCCGAUGGCUCUCCUCGACGAAACGGCGACGGUUCUAUCAGUGGUUCUUGGCGAGGAAGGAAAACGGAGACCUCUCUAUCGGUGGCUCUCCUCGAAGAGGCGGCUGGCGACCUCUCUCUCUAUCGGUGGCACUCUGCGACGAAGAACAACGGCGACUACUGCGGCUGAGGCGAAUCGAAAGGUAAAGCUGCGGUAAUAUUUGUUUAUGUUUCAAUCAUUCAAGUAUGCAUGUCUUAGAUUCUUCAUCAUGAAUCUUUAAAAGUAAAUCCUCUGAUUUUUUUUUAUUUGUUGUUGUUUUUGUGUCUUUAGGUGGAUUGAUCAAGAGGCAUGAUCCAGGUAUAUUUGUUCUUUCUUCAUCGUCAAUUUGUAGUACAUAUCCUCUGAUUUUUUUUAUUUGUUUCUCUUUGUUUUGUCGUAGGUGGAUUGUUGAAUAGGUUGUUCGAGGUUGAUUGCGUAUGUGUGUAAUUAGGUAUAUUUUGCUCCUUCUUCAUCGUUAUUUUUACUUGAUAAAUCGUCGAAUUUGUUUUGAUAUGUUUCGGUUAUUUUUUGUGAUUAGAUGGUUUGAUCAAGAGGCAUCACACAGGUUCUUGAGACAAUGGACGUACGAUGCAUCAUACAGGUAAAUCCUAUGUCUUUGCUCUGUUUACUUGUGAUAAAGAAUUGUCUUUGAUGGUGGUUUGAAAUGAAUUUAAUUAUCGGUUAGUGUUAAGUUAUGUAAUAAAUAGCUUUGGUUAUUGUUUGAUAAUGGUUAUUUUAGGUAAUAAAUAGCUUUGAUUAUGGUUAGAUAGAAAUAAAUGGUGUGGUGUGUUGAUUGUGUUAGAUAAGUGUCUACUCGAACAGCUUGGUUGUGAUCAAUGCCUUGAUAGGAUUCUUGAAUCUAUAAAAAAAAUUACCUUCUCCUCUUUCUUGAAUACACUUCAAAACGUGUUCUUUUCUUCCCACUUCCUCACUUUUCUUCUUUCAUUUCUCUCUUUCUUGAUCGUCCUUCUAAUAUGGAUUCUUAUUCAUCUUUUGAAACUUCAAAAUUUGUUGAUCUACUUAAUAGUCAACAAACUGUUUCAUUUGGAAACUUUGAAGAUAGUGUCAAACUAUCUUCAUCUCAAGUUCCCUUUCUGGGUAGUCUAGGAACCAAAGCUUCAAACUUUGAUGGAGACACGGCCGCAGAGCAUAGCAAACGACGGAAAUGGACACCAAAUGAUGAUAUUAUCAUGAUCAAGUCGUGGUUAAACACGAGCAAAGAUCAUGUAAUUGGCAACGAGCAAAAAUCAGGAGCUUUUUGAAAAAGAAUUGCCUCAUACUUUGCGGCAAGUCCUCUGGUUGCUAGCUGCGAAGAGAGAGAUGCAAGCCAUUGCAAGCAACAGUGACACAAGAUCAAUGACCUUGUGUGCAAGUUAUGUGGUGCGUAUGAAGCUGCUACUGGAGAGAAAGCUAGCGGCCAGAAUGAGAAUGAUGUUGUGAAACUUGCUUAUCAAAUAUUCUACAACAACCAUAAGAAGAAAUUCACUCUGGAACACACUUGGAAGGAACUACGCAACGACCAGAGGUGGUGUGACCUUGCUACUGCUGAAAAGGAAGUGGGCUCGAAGAAGAGGAAGUGUGAGGACGGUGCAGAUUUAGAGAGCUCUCAAGCAACUGAGAACAAGCAUCCCCCGGGUGUGAAGGCCGCAAAGGCAAGUGGUAAGAAGAAGGUGGUAGAGAAAAAUAGUCUGAAUGAGUUUCAGACUAUGUGGACGAUCAAACAGCACGAUUUGGCUGCGAAAGAGAGACGUUGUCUAAGAUGAAUCUGCUUCACCGUCUUAUUGGAAAAAAAGAACCUCUAGUUGAGUAUGAAGAAGUACUCAAGAAGAAGCUCAUAAACGACAUGUUAUCAAAUUAGUUAGUCGUCUAAGAGCAUGUUCUCUUUCUUGUUAUGUUUCAUGUUCUGUUUCAGGUUAAAAUUGAUUGUUUUUGUUUCGUUUCAAUCUUGUUCUGUUUAUGUAGUUCUGACCUGCAUUAAUGUAGUUCAAAGUUUAAUUAAAAUGUUCUUGUUAUGCAAAAUGUUCUUUGAGAAAUAUUAUUAUCUAAAAUGUUCUUGUUAUGCAAAAUGUUUUUUGAGAAAUGUUAUCUAAAAUGUUUUUGUUUUUGUUAUCUAAAAUGUUCUUGAUCUUGUAAUGUAUGUCUUCUAUUGACGAGACAGAGGAGACAGUGCAAGAGUGUCACGAUGGUGGAGACAGUGAAAGAGUGUCACCAGAGUGGAGACAGUGAAAGAGAAAUGUCGAGAAAUGUAUGUUUGUGUGUUGUGGUGUCACGAGCAAAGAUCAUGUUUGUGUGUUGUAGGGUCAAGAGAAAUGUAUGUAUGUGUGUGUUGUUGUAGUCUUGUGUCACGAGACAAGCAAUGUGUGUGUGUGGGUGUCACGAGAAUCUGUGAGUUAUUGUAGUCUUGUGUCUGUGUGUAUUUGUUGUUGUAGUCUAGUGUGUGUCACGAAAAAUAUAUAUAUGUGAAACAUUAUAUAUGUGUCACAAGAAUAAAUCACUAACAC